Molecule: RNA transcript, 805 nt
Organism: Sarcophilus harrisii (Tasmanian devil)
Lineage: Eukaryota; Metazoa; Chordata; Mammalia; Dasyuromorphia; Dasyuridae
Gene: MISFA
Gene name: SPTY2D1 opposite strand
Exons: 4
Source: RefSeq, a predicted model, not a curated record
GACAUCACAAUGCGCUCAGGACUGGCCCUUGCACAUGUGAGCUAGAGGGGCCUUUGGUGGCCUGCAGGGACUGCAACUGACAUGUGAGAUCUCCAACAACUGAGGAUUUGAUGAAGACAGUUCAGGAACGAGGUCUUGGUGAAUCAUCUCUGUCUGCACCCCAGUAUUUGGAGUGCAAAAGCUCCAACAGAUAACUACUGUAUCAUGAUUGUGAUUGGCUGGAUACUUUUUGUCGGACUUGCAUGUUAUCUGGGGGCAUUUCCUGAAGUAAUGCGUCCAACACUAAAAUGGAUAGAGAGACAGCCUGUCCAGCCUAUUUGUGAGCGCAAACAUCGACUAAGAAGUGUGAUUUUUGAUGAAAAUAAGAACAUACCCAGGUGGAAAUAGGCAGAGAAGAUCCUGGUGAACCAAUGCAACUCUGAAGCUAAACCUGGCCAGCUGUAUGGUUCCUCCUGUUGGUUUCGCAUAAAGCAAUUUGGGAAGACUAAAAGGAAGUGUGGGGAAUCAAAGAAUGUACACAGAAAGUUCUGUUCAAAGAAAUGAAUAUAAUGAUGACUAAGAACCCUUAAAGGACUCCUCCUGGACCCCCGACCCCCCCCAACCCCUCCUAAGACAAUAAAGGUCAAUGGAGAAUGUGUCCCAUGAGUAGAUGUGUCAUCAACGUUCUACCAUUUUCAGUUAACAGGUUAAAGUCCAGGCUUUUCGCUCUAUAACAUCAUUUCAUGGUUCAAUUCUCUUGCUGACUUCUUGAGACUUAAAUUAUUCUUUGGAAGCUAAGUUUUCUUGCUAGAAGUACAUGAAAAAA